Molecule: ribosomal RNA, 253 nt
Filed under: uncultured bacterium
Lineage: Bacteria
Description: partial 16S ribosomal RNA
Rfam family: Bacterial small subunit ribosomal RNA
Source: RNAcentral
UACGUAGGUGGCGAGCGUUGUCCGGAUUUACUGGGCGUAAAGAGCGCGCAGGCGGUCGUUCAAGUCGCGUGUGAAAGCCCCCGGCUCAACUGGGGAGGGUCACGCGAUACUGAUCGACUCGAAGGCAGGAGAGGGAAGUGGAAUUCCCAGUGUAGAGGUGAAAUUCGUAGAUAUUGGGAAGAACACCGGUGGCGAAGGCGGCUCACUGGCUCGUAUCUGACGCUCAGGCGCGACAGCGUGGGGAUCAAACAGG